Molecule: long non-coding RNA, 1093 nt
Organism: Clupea harengus (Atlantic herring)
Lineage: Eukaryota; Metazoa; Chordata; Actinopteri; Clupeiformes; Clupeidae
Source: Ensembl
GGUGGUUAUUAAUUUGACCCAUUUUUUAACUCUGGCAUAAACAAAAAUGUCACGUCGAGUCAAUGAUGAGGAUGAAAAUAGAAAGCAACGUCUUUUCUGUUAUUCCUUUCAUCUUUUGAAAUAGGUAUGCAGACAUUCCUCUUCUUCCAGCAGUUUUUUAUUUCAUUAAAGACGACCUCGAUAAUCCCCUUGGAGUUGCGUCAGUGCAUCGGCAGGAAGACUCCGCAUGACAUCAUGUGCCCAUUACCAAGUCCCCGACUCAAGGAUGGUCAUUGUGCAGUGGCUAAUGACCAGUGAGGGUUUCUUUAAAUCCAGCCAUGAUGGAUUACAUUAGUGAGUAAGAUGGGCUGCUGGUGGCUCCGUUUGAUUGGUCAAGGUGAUGGAGCUCCCAGACCCCCCGGAGCUCUCUGACUCCCUGAGUCCCGAGGGUGCAGCAGCACACUGGGACCUGACCGUCCCUCUAAAGGUGUUAUAUACACAUGUGUGCUUCCUCUAAAGGUGUUAUAAAUACACAUGUGUGUUUCCUCUAAUCACAUAUUUCACUUACAGUCUGAAAAAUGUGAAGACCUGGGAACUGAAUCUGUGGUAUUUUAAAAGAUUAUAACUGAAAUAUUAACAUUCUUCAUAAAGUACAGCACAGCAUACACAUUUCUAGAAUAACUAAAAGCCCUUUAGAGGGCACAGAGGCUGAGUGAAUCACAAGUCCGUGCUGAAUAGAGGAUGCUGUCUUCAUUCUCUCCUCAGCUCCUGCAAUCCCUGUGUUACAGCCAGAAGAAAUAUGUAGCAUUUUUGCUUCUUCUCAUCUCCAUGCACUAAUUCAGCGACAGCUCUUACAAAAGGAAGCUCUGAAUGAUCACAUUCUCUGGGCCAGAGGGGGUUUCCAAGGCUUGGGAUUGGAACUGAAGCUGCAGAAAUGACAAUAGGAACACAUAGAACACAUACACUGCUCUUAAAAUAGCAAGCUAAUGCUAAUGCCAUUGUUUUGAUAGAGAGCUGCAGCUCCUUGGCACAGUGGUGGGCUGGAGGUAAAUUAAAUUAGGUCCCCUGUGUACACAAACACACACACACACACACACACACACACACACACACA